CUACGGGAGGCUCCAGCAGGGAAUUUUGCGCAAUGGGCGAAAGCCUGACGCAGCGACGCCGCGUGGGGGAAGAAGGCCCUCGGGUUGUAAACCCCUUUUCUGGGGGAAGAGCAAGGACGGUACCCCAGGAAUAAGCCCCGGCUAACUACGUGCCAGCAGCCGCGGUAAUACGUAGGGGGCGAGCGUUGUCCGGAAUUACUGGAUGUAAAGAGCGCGUAGGCGGCCCAGGAAGUCCUUGGUGAAAUCUCCCGGCUCAACCGGGAGGGGUCCGAGGAAACUCCUGGGCUUGAGGACGGCAGAGGAGGGUGGAAUUCCCGGUGUAGUGGUGAAAUGCGAGGAUAUCGGGAGGAACACCAGUGGCGAAGGCGGCCCUCUGGGCUGUACCUGACGCUGAGGCGCGAAAGCGUGGGGAGCAAACCGGAUUAGAUACCCCCGUAGUC
This 440-nucleotide ribosomal RNA is filed under the name uncultured bacterium. RNAcentral describes it as "partial 16S ribosomal RNA". It matches the Rfam family "Bacterial small subunit ribosomal RNA", at positions 339 to 795 of the family's 1533-position model. The record is from RNAcentral.